ACUACGGGAGGCAGCAGUGGGGAAUAUUGGACAAUGGGCGAAAGCCUGAUGGAGCAACGCCGCGUGCAGGAUGAAGGCCUUCGGGUUGUAAACUGCUUUUAUAAGCGAGAAAUAUGAUGGUAACUUAUGAAUAAGGAUAGGCUAACUACGUGCCAGCAGCCGCGGUCAUACGUAGGAUCCGAGCAUUAUCCGGAGUGACUGGGUGUAAAGAGUUGCGUAGGUGGCAUAAUAAGUAGCUAGUGAAAUCUGGUGGCUCAACCAUUCAGACUAUUAGCUAAAAUGUUAAGCUCGAAACCGUUAGGGGUAACGGGAAUGUCUAGUGUAGGAGUGAAAUCCGUAGAUAUUAGAAGGAACACCAAUAGCGUAGGCAGGUUACUGGGACGGUUCUGACACUAAGGCACGAAAGCGUAGGGAGCAAACGGGAUUAGAUACCCUUGUAGUC
RNAcentral lists this ribosomal RNA (442 nucleotides) under uncultured bacterium. RNAcentral describes it as "partial 16S ribosomal RNA". It matches the Rfam family "Bacterial small subunit ribosomal RNA", at positions 338 to 795 of the family's 1533-position model. The record is from RNAcentral.